RNAcentral lists this ribosomal RNA (537 nucleotides) under uncultured archaeon. RNAcentral describes it as "bacterial SSU rRNA". It matches the Rfam family "Archaeal small subunit ribosomal RNA", at positions 326 to 867 of the family's 1478-position model. The record is from RNAcentral.
CGGGGUGCACCAGGCGCGAAAACUUUGCAAUGCGGGAAACCGUGACAAGGGAACUCUGAGUGCCCGUUAAAUCGGGCUGUCCAUCGGUUUAAAUAACCGGUGAAGAAAGGGCCGGGCAAGACCGGUGCCAGCCGCCGCGGUAAUACCGGCGGCUCGAGUGGUGGCCACUAUUACUGGGCUUAAAGCGUUCGUAGCUGGUCUGUUAAGUCUCUGGGGAAAUCUUCCGGCUUAACCGGAAGGCGUCUCAGGGAUACUGGCAGACUAGGGACCGGGAGAGGUGAGAGGUACUCCAGGGGUAGGAGUGAAAUCCUGUAAUCCUUGGGGGACCACCUGUGGCGAAGGCGUCUCACCAGAACGGCUCCGACAGUGAGGGACGAAAGCUGGGGGAGCAAACCGGAUUAGAUACCCGGGUAGUCCCAGCUGUAAACGAUGCGCGUUAGGUGUAUCGGUGACCACGAGUCACCGAGGUGCCGAAGAGAAAUCGUGAAACGUGCCGCCUGGGAAGUACGGUCGCAAGGCUGAAACUUAAAGGAAUUG